Molecule: ribosomal RNA, 591 nt
Filed under: Eleutheria dichotoma
Lineage: Eukaryota; Metazoa; Cnidaria; Hydrozoa; Anthoathecata; Cladonematidae
Description: partial 16S ribosomal RNA
Rfam family: Bacterial large subunit ribosomal RNA
Source: RNAcentral
GCCCCUUAACACAUAAGAGGUGUUGCCUGCCCACUGAUUAUAAAUAAAAGUAUAAACUACUCUAAAUAUAAUUUAAAGGACGCGGUAUCUUGACCGUGAUAAUGUAGCAUAAUCAUUCGCCAUUUAAUUGAUGGAUAGUAUGAAUGGCUAAACGAGUAUAACACUGUCUCUAAUAAAAUAUUAUAAAAUUGAAAUAUUAGUAAAGAUGCUAAUUAAAAUUGUAAGACGAAAAGACCCUAUAGAGCUUAACUAUAGUUUUUACACUCAGAAAAAAGUUUACUUUUUAACACGUAAAAAUAGGUAGUUUGGUUGGGGCGACCACUCUCUAAAAAAAACGAGAGUAAACAAAGUCAAUUAAAAGAUUUACUGUACAAAUAAUAAUUUUAACAGUUAUAAUUAUAGGUAAUAAUGACCCGUUUAUAAUUUGAACAAAUGUAAACGAUCAGUAAAUAAAAGCUACCUUAGGGAUAACAGGAUAAUUUUAUUUUAGAGUCCUUAUCAAAAAUAAAGUUUGUCACCUCUAUGUUGAAUUAAGAUAUCCAAAUGAUGCAGAAGUCAUUAAUGGUAGGUCUGUUCGACCUUUAAAAUCUU